This 957-nucleotide ribosomal RNA is filed under the name uncultured bacterium. Its description in RNAcentral is "bacterial SSU rRNA". It matches the Rfam family "Bacterial small subunit ribosomal RNA", at positions 415 to 1377 of the family's 1533-position model. The record is from RNAcentral.
CCUGCAGGAGGUGAACUUCGGCCAGUAAGGAUGAGGCCGUGGAGGUGACGGUACCGACGGACGAGCAUCGGUGCCAUCUACUUUCCAGCAGCCGCGGCUAAUACGUAGGGUGCAAGUGUGUCCAGGAUCUCUUAGGCAUUAAUGAGCUCGUACGUCGGUAUUUUUCGUCGGUUGUGAUAGCGUGCGGAUCUACCUCAUGCAUUCAGUCGAUACGUGCAGUUUAGAUUGUUGCAGGGGAGUCUGGUAUUGCCGGUUAGCGGUGAAAUGAUGCAGCUAUCAUGAUGAACACCGUUCGCGAAGGCGGGUCUCGGGGCAACAACCGACGCUAGGAGUGAAGUUGUGGGGAGCGAACAGGAUUUAGAUACUGGGUAGUUCACGCCGUAAUCGUUGGGCGCUAGGUGUAGGGUUCAUUUCGUGAGCUUCCUUCUGCAGCUAAUGCAUUAAGCGUCCCCCAUUGGGAGUAGGAUCGCAAGGCCAAAAUUCAAAGGUAUUGACGGGGGCCCGCACAAGCGGCGGAGCAUGCGGAUUAAUUUGAUGCAACGUGAAGAACCUUUCCUUUGUUUGACAUUGCCGGAAAACUCGCAGAGAUGCGGGGUCCUUCGGGGCCGGUGACAGGUGGUGCAUGGCAGUCGUCAGCUCGUGUCGUGAGAUGAGGGGUUAAGUCCCGCAACGAGCGCAACCCUCGUUCGAUGUCGCCAGCGGGUCAUGCCGGGGACUCCUCGAAGACUGCCGGCGUCUACUCGGAGGAAGGUGGGGAUGACUUCAAGUCAUCAUGCCCCUUAUUUUCAGGGCUUCACGCAUGCUACAAUGGCCGGUACAAAGGGCUGCGAUACCCUGAGGUGGAGCGAAUCCCAAAAAAGCCGGUGUCAUUUCGGAUCGGGGUUCCCAACUUGCCCCCGUGAAGUUGGAGUCGCUAGUAAUUGCAGAUCAGCAACUCCGCGGGGAAAAUUUCCCCGG